ACGGCUCAGUAACACGUGGCUAACCUGCCCUUGGGACAAGGACAACUCCGGGAAACUGGGGCUAAUCCCUGAUAAGUGAGAACUCCUGGAAUGGAUUCUCGCUCAAAGGACGUUUAGACCAUGCUUCUAGGCGUCGCCCAAGGAGGGGGCCGCGACCGAUCAGGUUGUUGGUGAGGUAACGGCUCACCAAGCCUUUAACCGGUACGGGCCGUGAGAGCGGAAGCCCGGAGAUGGGCACUGAGACAAGGGCCCAGGCCCUACGGGGCGCAGCAGUCGCGAAAACUCCGCAAUACACGAAAGUGUGACGGGGCCAUCCCGAGUGCCAUCCGCUGAGGAUGGCUUUUCCCCAGUGUAUAAAGCUGGGGGAAUAAGGAGAGGGCAAGCCUGGUGUCAGCCGCCGCGGUAAUACCAGCUCUCCGAGUGGUGGGGAUGUUUAUUGGGCCUAAAGCAUUCGUAGCCUGCUUGGCAAGUCCUCCGUUAAAUCCAACGAUUCAAUCGUUGGGCUGCGGGGGAUACUGUCCAGCUAGGGGGCGGGAGAGGCCGACGGUAUCCCCGGGGUAGGGGUGAAAUCCUAUAAUCCCGGGAGGACCACCAGUGGCGAAGGCUGUCGGCUAGAACGCGCCCGACGGUGAGGGAUGAAAGCUGGGGGAGCGAACCGGAUUAGAUACCCGGGUAGUCCCAGCCGUAAACGAUGCAGGCUAGGUGUUGGCGCGGCUACGUGCCGCUCCAGUGCCGCAGGGAAGCCGUUAAGCCUGCCGCCUGGGAAGUACGGCCGCAAGGCUGAAACUUAAAGGAAUUGGCGGGGGAGCACCACAAGGGGUGAAGCUUGCGGUUUAAUUGGAGUCAACGCCGGG
This 854-nucleotide ribosomal RNA is filed under the name uncultured archaeon. RNAcentral describes it as "bacterial SSU rRNA". It matches the Rfam family "Archaeal small subunit ribosomal RNA", at positions 85 to 922 of the family's 1478-position model. The record is from RNAcentral.